CCUCUAUGCCCAAUUUUUUCUCCUGUUCAAUUAAGUUGAUUACCGCUCUGCAGUUGUUUAUGUUUAUUUGAUUCGAGGACCUUGAUGAUUUUAUGCAGUGCAAUGUGUGGCCAAUUUUGUUUAUGGGAUACCAGGGACUGGAGGCAAAUUUAAGCUAUUCUGUUUCUUCCAUCAAAUUAAUUAAGGGAAUUGGAUUAUGGAUUAUAUUCCUGAUUUUCAGUUCAGAUUGCUUCUAUUAUAUGCAGUGAUGAAUGCUCUUGGGUAGUGGAAGGAGCGCGCGCUUGUGGUGCUAAGAGUAUUGACAGUCAAAUUUACAUAUUUUGGUUGUUGAAUGCUGAAUGCUGAAUGCUGAUUGUUGGCUAGGAGUAGUAGUCUUGCUUGCCUUUAAUCCACUGAUAGUGGUAUCUAAUGAAAGCUGAAACUUUUAGAUGGAAAUAUUAUUAGGUUUUCACGAUAUGGAGUUCUGGCAUGGCAUCAAAUGUUUCUGUUUCAGUGUGUUGAAAAUUUCAUUUAACGUCACUUUUGAUUGUUCAUGUUUCACUUCUCUAGAACUCAAUCUCUUUUCUUCUAUUACUGCUAACCACGCUACGACAGCUUGACCAAGUCAAGGGCUCUGAUCUAUUAUUUGAAACAAAGGAAUUACAUUUAAUUUUCUUUGUUGCUUAAUUUAUUCUUCAAGAUUUUGUAACUAAAUAAUUGACUUGUAUCGCAAAUAUGGUUGUAUUUGUGAUAGGUUUCUGAUUCUUUUGCCAAAA
Molecule: long non-coding RNA, 755 nt
Organism: Ricinus communis (castor bean)
Lineage: Eukaryota; Viridiplantae; Streptophyta; Magnoliopsida; Malpighiales; Euphorbiaceae
Exons: 2
Source: RefSeq, a predicted model, not a curated record